UUAAUUAAAGCCAAAAAGAGGCAUAUUAUUGUUAAUAAUAAAAUUGAAUUAAAUAUUCUAAUUAAA
Molecule: transfer RNA, 66 nt
Filed under: Hypsathalia przewalskyi
Lineage: Eukaryota; Metazoa; Arthropoda; Insecta; Hymenoptera; Athaliidae
Description: tRNA-Asn
Source: RNAcentral